CCUACGGGUGGCUGCAGUAGGGAAUAUUGGUCAAUGGACGCAAGUCUGAACCAGCCAUGCCGCGUGCAGGAUGAAGGCCUUAUGGGUUGUAAACUGCUUUUGUACGGGAAGAAACCUUCGAUCGUGAUCGGAGCUGACGGUACCGUAAGAAUAAGGAUCGGCUAACUCCGUGCCAGCAGCCGCGGUAAUACGGAGGAUCCAAGCGUUAUCCGGCUUUACUGGGUUUAAGGCGUGCGUAGGAGGAUUAAUAGAAAUCCUACAGCGUAACUGUAGAACUGCCAUUGAUACUGUUAGUCUUGAGUAUUGUUGAGGUGGGCGGAAUUUGUCAUGUAGCGGUGAAAUGCUUAGAUAUGACAAAGAACACCAAUCGCGAAGGCAGUUCACCAAACAAUAACUGACGCUGAGGCACGAAAGCGUGGGGAUCAAACAGGAUUAGAUACCCCGGUAGUC
Molecule: ribosomal RNA, 450 nt
Filed under: uncultured bacterium
Lineage: Bacteria
Description: partial 16S ribosomal RNA
Rfam family: Bacterial small subunit ribosomal RNA
Source: RNAcentral